GAUGAACGCUGGCGGCGUGCCUAAUACAUGCAAGUCGAGCGAACAGACGAGGAGCUUGCUCCUCUGACGUUAGCGGCGGACGGGUGAGUAACACGUGGAUAACCUACCUAUAAGACUGGGAUAACUUCGGGAAACCGGAGCUAAUACCGGAUAAUAUAUUGAACCGCAUGGUUCAAUAGUGAAAGACGGUUUUGCUGUCACUUAUAGAUGGAUCCGCGCCGCAUUAGCUAGUUGGUAAGGUAACGGCUUACCAAGGCGACGAUGCGUAGCCGACCUGAGAGGGUGGUCGGCCACACUGGAGCUGAGACACGGUCCAGACUCCUACGGGAGGCAGCAGUAGGUAAUCUUCCGCAAUGGGCGAAAGCCUGACGGAGCAACGCCGCGUGAGUGAUGAAGGUCUUCGGAUCGUAAAACUCUGUUAUUAGGGAAGAACAAAUGUGUAAGUAACUAUGCACGUCUUGACGGUACCUAAUCAGAAAGCCACGGCUAACUACGUG
This 497-nucleotide ribosomal RNA is filed under the name uncultured bacterium. RNAcentral describes it as "partial 16S ribosomal RNA". It matches the Rfam family "Bacterial small subunit ribosomal RNA", at positions 28 to 507 of the family's 1533-position model. The record is from RNAcentral.